UCUCAAAGGAAACCUCAUCCCUCUGAGCCUGGGCUGUCAUUCAUUUGGUUCAUUCUGAAGGGACCCUGUCAUGCCAGUCUCCCCAGGCUCUCCGUCUACCAGGAACCCCGGAAGACCCCUGGCCCAGGCCAUUCUGCUCCAGGGCAAUGAUAGAGCCCUAACCUCUAAUGAGAGGUCAUCAGAGUGGAUGUGGGAGGAUCGUGCAGAUACCCUGCAACUUUCUCUCCAGGUGAUACGUGGAUAUUUCUCCUUAAAUUAAUUGGACUGGUUAGCCUCAGUGCCAGCCUAGUAGGAACCAUCGCCUGCCCGGAUUCCUGUUCUCCCCCAGACCACUGGGCAAAUCCUUCUCAGUUGGUAGGGCUUUAAUGGCUUGAAGAGGAUAGGAAAUAUGUUAUUGAUGACUUUUUAUUAACAUCCAAUUUUAUUAACAUCCAUUACAACCCAUGGCCUUCGUUGUGCAUGCACACACACACACACACAUACACACACAGAGCAAAGGCGAGGGUUGGAAGCCAGUUGAUGCUAGAGGAAUGCUUUAACACCCCUAUCAAUACACAACCCAAGUCGGCUCCAGCUAAUUUUUUCAAGAUGUCCACAGUGUCACCCCAUGCUCAGGAUAUGUAUUGGUGUGUGUGCUUUUGUACUCACUCAUAUAGCAAACUUUGAGCUAUGGCCAGGUACUAGGACAAUAUUAGUAAACAAAAUAGACAAACACAAAAUCCUCAGAGCUUCAGGUUCUCAUCUGUAGCAUGGACGACUUCCCUACUCCUUCCCCUCAAAUCAGAGGGUAGAGACCCUGGGUAUGGAUUUCAAGGUCGCUGUCAUUAGUAGGGAGCUAACACUCACUAUGUAACACUCACUACCACUGGAGUGUGUGGGGGUGGGGGGGAGUCUGGGAUAGAAAAGUAAAUAAACAAGUAACAUAAACAUGAUGCUUGAGGGUAAUAUGUGCUAUGGAGAAAACCAAAGCAAAAAAGACGGUGCCCCAAAAUGAGUGGAGGAUUUUAAAUGGGGUGGUCAGGGAAUGUCUCAAUGAAAAGGUAACAUUUAAAUAAAGACCAAAAGGAGAUGAGAGAGUGAGCUAUGAAGCUAUUUGGUAGAAGAGGGUUCCAGGCAGAGGAAAUGGCAAAUUCAAAAUACCGAGGCAUGGUCAGAGAGGUUGUCCUGGUGGGAACAAGGGGAGAGGGGAUGGGAAGAGGCAGGAGGUGUUGGGCUCUAUUAUUAAUAAAAUAUGGUCAGGAGUCCCCCAGUCCCCUGUUCCAACCCAUAUAGUUAAUUUCAUCCCUUUUCUUAAAGUUCUGAAACUAAUACCUGUCUUAUAAACAAGC
Molecule: long non-coding RNA, 1328 nt
Filed under: Macaca fascicularis (crab-eating macaque)
Lineage: Eukaryota; Metazoa; Chordata; Mammalia; Primates; Cercopithecidae
Description: lncRNA (ENSMFAG00000060932.1)
Source: RNAcentral